UUCUGAAGCUAAUAGGACAUUUUUACUUUCGAUGACCUCCAUAUUUACGACUUGUAUACGUGUUAAAACGUACCUAUACUUCUCGUCCAGAACUUUCGUUCCAAUACCACUCGUCCCAAAAAUCCUCGAAAAUAACCUCUGCCUCGAUGUUCUAAACGAAUUGCUCUUAAUUUUUUAUCCCUUAUAUUAUGUCGUAGGUUGUUUAUAACUUGUGAAAAAUCCGAUUCAGAAUCUAUCUAACUAUCGUCGAGAGCUACUUUCGAGUGGAAAGACCUUUUAUUUUAAGCACGGACUAUAUUUAGUCAGGUGGAAAUCAGCGAGACUUAGCUCGUGCUAAGAAUUUAAAGAAGACUCAGAAGAAAGCAGCUGGAGAACAAGAUAGUAAUAAGGGAUUGACACUGGAACAACGAAAACAACGUGAUGCUGAGAGAAUGAGAGAGAAGCAA
Diachasmimorpha longicaudata is the source of this 446-nucleotide long non-coding RNA. RefSeq lists it as uncharacterized. NCBI's taxonomy places the organism in Eukaryota, Metazoa, Arthropoda, Insecta, Hymenoptera, Braconidae. The record is from RefSeq and is a predicted model, not a curated record. The transcript is spliced from 3 exons.